AUACUGCGCCUGAAAGGGGACAAUGGAGGCUGGAUAGAUCAACACUGCAGAAAUCGAGUUCAUUUGUGAUUCAGCCCCUUUCACUGCGGUUGUCAUGCAAACUUCCUACUUUGAUCAGCAGAGGGUGGAGAGGGAAAAAGCCCGCAAAGGCCCGGGCUGCGGCGCGGUCCGGCGCCCUUGGCGGCUCCACGCCCCCUUCCGGAAGGAGCCGCGGGGACGCCGCAUCCUGCACCUUGACCUGUCUAGACGGCCCCGAACGUUUUGUCUCCGUUACCAAGGGCGAGGGGUGCUCUUUGACCCGCGCCCGGGGCGGAGGUGGUGGCCAAAGGGUCCAGCUGAAUCCUCGCCGAAUUCCGGAGGGAGAGGGGCGCGCGGGGACGUGCACCAGCUGUUCCCAAAGAAAGCAGCCGAGGAGCCCGCCUGGGAGAUGGGGCGCCCGUCCGUGAGCCCCUUCCUCUCCCAGCCCCACGUCCACCCCAGCCCGGGCCAUCGCGCGGCUGCAGCGUGGGGGACGCGCAGCCAAGGGCAGCCCCGGGGAGGGCCAGACUUUGGGCCUCCCCAACUUCUCCCCGACUAAGGGGAUCUGAAGCCAGCUGAGCGCGCGCUCUCUCUCUCGCUCUCUCUCCCUCCCUCUCUCUGUCUCUCCCUCCUUUCCCUCUCUCUGUCUCUCUCCCCCUCCUCUCUCUCUCCUCUCUCUGUCUGACAAGUAGAUGGAUAAUAACUGCCAUUUUCUAUGCGUCAUGCUUUUUGCUACAUGCUCAGUGAUUUCUAAACAUGAUUCUAUGUAGAGGUAUAGUUUCUAGUUUGAAUGUAUUUUUUUUCUGGCCACUUUGAAAUAUAUGCACUUUUAAAAAACUGGAAUUUACGCUAGCCCCGUAAUGAUGUAAAGCAGGUCGUUGUUACAUUGUAAUAACAAUCUGCGGUACCGUCUUCUGGGCCCGUGCUAGGGAAGUGGCACACGUUUGCAUUCAGGGAGAGUGUGGCGUUUCCAUGUGGACUCGCCGGAAGGUCUUUGAAGUAACAUUAACAUUAAGACAAGUUUCCUCGCCCUGUCUUUCUUCUUAGAUCCCCCUAGCUCAGUCGGAGGCGUUCCUAACGGAUCUUUUGGAGAAAGUCUGUGAGCGAAUGAACGACUACAAGCUUGAGGAAGACCCUGUGACGAAGGAGAGAACUUUCAAGAGAUUCGCUCCUAGGAAAGGAGACAAAAUAUACCAAGAAUUUAAAAAAUUGUAUUUUUAUUCUGAUGCUUACAGACCUUUGAAAUUUGCGUGUGAAACUAUAAUAGAAGAGUAUGAAGAUGAAAUAUCCUCACUUAUCGCCCAGGAGACACACUAUCUAGCUGACAAGCUGUGCAGUGAAAAAUCAGGUACUGUGUCUGAUGUAACAUGUGCUCGCUGCUCGCACACCCUCUCUCUCUCACUCAGCCUUGCAGCGUCUUGUUUGCAGACCGAGCCUCGCUGCCUCUGCGAUCCACGGCUCUGACACAGGAUCCCCCGUCUCCGCUGAAUCAGAAACGACAGCAUGUGAGAGAAAACAGAUAAACAGAAACCACAGGGCUGUGUGGCCUUCCUCUUUGUACUUUCUUUCCUCUAUAUAUUAAGUGAAUUCAAACAUUCUUGAUUUCCAGUUAAGGAGAAAAUUCUUGUUCAGAAUUAGAAGACUCCAAAGCACUUUCUUUUUAAAAACUUUGAGAGAGAGGAUUUUUCCAUCCUGGACCAGGGAAGGAGACCCUCACUUCAUGGCUUGAGUAUCUGCUACAGCAGCAGAAGAUCUGUGUGAAACUUCUGCUAAUCAUACUGAGCUCUAGGAGUGCCGUUCUGCUGGUCGUAGAGAGGAGUAAAGUCACACCCAAAGGUCAAUGUCUGCAUUUUAUGUUUGCAUGUUGUCUUUCAUGAUAAGAAAAAUUUUGUCUCUUGUUUAUACCGUGUUUGUCUCCGUUUAUGAUUCAUUUUGAAAAUCUGUUGGUUGACAUCAUGACAAACCCUGCGUUUUUUUAUAGGUGAAGCUGAGGAGUACAUGAAACUUAAAUUAACCUUUGCAGAUUUUGAUAAAUCAAGCUUGACAAUAGAGGAUUUAAUUCUGUAUUGAGGAAAAAAGCGAAGACAUUUCAUAAACAAAAUAGGGAUUUCAUAAUGUAUGCUGCUUAUUUUAUAACAGUGUAUGUGCACAUAUGCAAGCGCAGUGGCUGUCUGAUAAGAACUGGAUUUGAAUCCUCAAAUACUUGAUUGCCUAUAAAUUUAAGGAAAUACAUGGCAACAAAUUCAAAAUGUGGCCUUCUGGGUGAGAUAUGGCUAUUAGUGAAAGAAACCCACUUUUUAUCAGGAAUGAAAUUAAAAUUUUUAGAAACCACAAGUUUAAAAACCCAUCUCUAAAAUUUAGUGGAAUGUGUAAAAACUAAUGAAUGCUUUAAUUUAUAGUAAACAAUAAUUAUAUUGGCCUCUCAAACACCAUUCUGAGUUUAAGUGGCUUAGAAAGUUGAUUUAUUAUUGCAUCAGGUGUUAAAAGAUGACACUAGUGAUUGCGUUUUGUUUCGCUCCAAACUCUUCUGGCUUGUUUGUUUUUCUUCUAAACGUUUUUUUUUUGGCUCACAUUUAGUGUGUUGAGUUUACUACUAAAUAAUCUACCAUUCUUCUACAGGAAUGGAAAAAGAGUUGGGACCUGGUGGGAAAUUAUCUUUUGGCCACACUUAAUAUACAAAGUCUAGUAACAAUCACUCCCGGAAAUUUCUUUAUCUCUGUUACAUUUGCAUUCAAUGGAAUCUGACUUUAAUGAUUAAAAAUGUCAGGGUAUGGUCUACACCAGUUUCUAAAAAGAGAUUCUCAUUGUCUUUGGUGACAAUCAAGUGGGUAGGAUGCUACAAAUCCCCCCCCCAACCCCCCCGACCCAAAACUCUUUGCCAUAUUGUUACUUAGUUGCUUAAAAAGCACAUUAUGUGUUUAAAUCAUUCUCCUGACUCUUCAGCAGGAAACAAUUCUUAAAUUUAGGAAAAUUUACCAAAGCUAAGGGGAAGGGCUUUCCAUGCCCCCUCCCCACCUAAACUCUGAUUAAAAGUUAGUGAGUUAAUGUCACUUAAUUACUUGGGUGCUUCUUUUUUGUCUUGUCUGUGGCUGCUUAAGUCUGAUGGCUCCUACAUAACCCAGCGAACUCGCACCCGAGCUGACACACGAUGGAAAUAGAACUGAAUAAUAAUUAACACUAUUUUCCAGUAGGGUAGGACAAUUGUUAUUUAAAACAUAGUCCCUAUAGCUUUAUUUAAACGUAUCUAGUUAAGGUUAAUUUGGCAUUUAAAGUAGUAAAUCAGGAACAUUCUCCUAACUUGGAUUUUCUUGGGAAAUGCACUAAACAGGACAAUUAUUCCUGAAAACCUAGUGACCUUCACAGGAACAUGGCGGGACCUGUGACACUAAGUAAGCUUCAGUGAAAACUGUUCACGGUCGUAACCGUAGAAGUGUUGCCAAAUCUGUUUCCAUACUCUCUUUGAUCAUCAUCAAACAUUCUCAAAUGUAGGCAAUGCUAACACUAAUUAUAGAAAUUAAGAAAAUGUGGGCUCCUGUUUGUAACUAAACGGACGUGGGGAGGUGCACCUCCUGUCACUGAGGGGUGCCUUUCAUGGACAGUGAUGCUUUGCUUUGAAUGGAGAGGGCGAGGAACCUUGACUUACAGUGACUAUCUAAGGUUGUGAUAAAUAUGGCAUUUCAGGUUUUUUUCUUGGAUUUCCCAUUAAAAAUAGUCUUGUAUCUUGCAAA
Molecule: RNA transcript, 3746 nt
Organism: Homo sapiens (human)
Lineage: Eukaryota; Metazoa; Chordata; Mammalia; Primates; Hominidae
Gene: CNPY1
Gene name: canopy FGF signaling regulator 1
Exons: 3
Source: RefSeq, marked validated